RNAcentral lists this ribosomal RNA (408 nucleotides) under Triticum aestivum (bread wheat). RNAcentral describes it as "partial small subunit ribosomal RNA". Lineage: Eukaryota; Viridiplantae; Streptophyta; Magnoliopsida; Poales; Poaceae. The record is from RNAcentral.
AUGCAUAUGGAUUUCCAGGUUCUAAUCUCUGGUGAAGCAUUGACGAUUUGGCUUGCGGAGAGUAGAUGGGUGACCUUCAGGUGUGCAGCACGGUACCUUGUUCGUGCUUGGUGCUCUGGGAGGAGGCCGGCAGGAGCUUCGGGAGGAGGCCGCCGGCAGCAGGAGCUCAGGGAGGCCGGCAGCCCCAGGUCCAGCUUAUCAGAUCAUGGAUAUAUGGGGUUCGCGAAAUUGAUGGACCUGUUCGCGCUUAUUAUCUGCACUUAUCUGUUUUCAAUUUCUGCCAGAGGAAAAAUAGGAAUCAACUCAAUCAACAGCAAGAUAACAGAGCCACUAUUGAGUCCGUCUGCAGGACAGCAGACAGAAACCAAAUGGACAUUUCUGUAUGGCAGGGCAAAAUUGAUGAGAUAA